GACGUUGAUAGGUUGGGUGUGUAAGUGCUGUGAGGCAUUGAGCUAACCAAUACUAAUUGCUCGUGAGGCUUGACCAU
This 77-nucleotide ribosomal RNA is filed under the name Marinomonas rhizomae. RNAcentral's name for it is "partial 23S ribosomal RNA". It matches the Rfam family "Bacterial large subunit ribosomal RNA", at positions 2849 to 2925 of the family's 2925-position model. RNAcentral also lists the same sequence under 1 other name. The record is from RNAcentral. Lineage: Bacteria; Pseudomonadati; Pseudomonadota; Gammaproteobacteria; Oceanospirillales; Oceanospirillaceae.